CUGGAAUGCAAGUCUGUGGAGGCUGAUCUUGUAGUCUGCAUCUGUCAUCAGGCAGUUUAAUAUACGCCAUCCUGUACCCUCAGGAUAAAGGCUUGCUCACAACAAGCCUUCUAAAGAAUUUGAAAACUGGAAGGGACCUCAAAGUCUAGGUUGUAAGACAUGAAACACAGGAGCCCUUGCAUAUCUCCUUUGGAAAUAAGAUGACAAAGCUGCCACAGAGAAAAGCCGGGGGCAGGUCAGCCAACAAGACUGCAGAAGGAACACAUGCUCAAGUCUCGGCAGCACAGUACAAUUGUUAGAGAAAGGAUGUUCUUACCGCAAGUGGCAAAGAUCCAUUGCUGUCAUUGACGCUGUGGUCAAAAACAAUUCCUGCCAAUAUGUAGAAAGCUUUGGGAUCAUCAAUUAUAUAACGUUCAAACAAAGACACUGAAGAACAGCCUAAAACUACAGAGAGAAAAAUCCCAUCAGUGAGUGGCUGGUGUGAAGGCAAAGGCUACCCAGCUGCCCGCUUUCUACUUAAGGAGACUUAAGAUCGACAGCUGACUGCUCCAUUAACUCCAGCAUUCGUUCUGCAAAUACACGAGCAGAGAGAGACAGAAAAUAAGGGAGAUGGAGUCUUGGCCUGUCGCCCAGGCUGAAGUGCAAUGGCACGAUCUCGGCUCACUGCAAUCUCCACGUCCUGGGUUCAAGCCACUCUCCUGCCUCAGCCUCCCAGGGAGCUGGGACUACAGGUAUGUGCCACCACGCCCGGCUAAUUUUUUUGUAUUUUUAGUAGAGAUGAAAUUUCACCAUGCUGGCCAGGCUGGUCACAAACUCUUGACCUCAAGUGACCCGCCCACCUCGGCCUCCCAAAGUGCUGGGAUUACAGACAUGAGCUACUGCACCCGGCUGAAGCACAACUUUCAAAACAGUGAUUUCCCCACAUUUUACCACUGAGGGCAUUUUUAUUUUUUAUUUUUUUAGAGACAGGGUCUCGUUCUGUUACCCAAGCUGGAGUGCAGUGGUGCAAUCAUAGCUCACUGUAGGUUCAAGAGAUCCUCCCACCUCAGCAUCCCAAGUAGCUGGGUCUACAAGCAUCAACUACCAUACCUGGUUAAUUUUUUAUUUUUUGUAGAGACAGGGUUUCACUAUGUUGCCCAAGCUGGUCUCAAACUCCUGGAACUGAAAGCUUUUAAAAGAAUUAUCCUCA
Molecule: long non-coding RNA, 1189 nt
Filed under: Homo sapiens (human)
Lineage: Eukaryota; Metazoa; Chordata; Mammalia; Primates; Hominidae
Description: HSALNT0226591
Source: RNAcentral